Molecule: long non-coding RNA, 1050 nt
Filed under: Piliocolobus tephrosceles (Ugandan red Colobus)
Lineage: Eukaryota; Metazoa; Chordata; Mammalia; Primates; Cercopithecidae
Description: lncRNA (ENSPTEG00000007761.1)
Source: RNAcentral
AUGAUUGUUUCGUAUAAUAAUCAUAAAACAAAAAUGUCUAACUCUAUAAUAAACCUAAACACUGAAGGAGGCUACUUUAAGGAUGACAUAAAAGAAGAAAUAUAUGAUUACAAUUUUAUGUAUAUUAAUACAAAUAUAUUAAUAAGAGCAUAUCAAAAAGAUAAAAACAAAUUAACAUUUUUAAAUAGAAGAUUAAAUUUAAUUAAAAUAGUUGGUUUUGUAAUAAAUAUAGAAGAAAAAAAAGAAUUUCUACUUUAUACUAUUGAUGACACAACUGGCUAUUUAAAAGCAAAACUACUUUUAACAUAUCCUGUUAAUAAUUUAAAAGAAAUAACAGAAAUUAUAGGAAUAGAUGACCUUGUACAAAUAUUUGGUAUAUGUAAUUUUGUUAGUUUUAAUGAAGAUUUAACUAUUUCUAUUAAUUCUAUAAAAAAAUUAAAUUCGAUCAAUUAUUUAUGUCAUCAUCAAUUAUUAGUUUUUCAUAGUUAUUUAAAAUCUGUUGAAGAAGAAAAAAAAAAAAAAAAAAUAGAAAUGGAUAGUAUUCAGAAUUUUAAUGAUGUAGAUGCUUCGCUUAAUAUUCCAAAUGAGAAUGACUAUCCGUUUUUUAAAACAUUUUUUUAAUAAAAUAUAUAUACAAGUGGGUUUAUGUACUUAUACGAUUUAGGUAUAAUAUAUAUAUAAUUUAUACAAUAUAUAUAUAUAUAUACACCCUUUUAUAUGAUUUAAGUACUUUUUUUUUUUUUUUUUUUUUUUUUUUUUUUUAUUAGUAAGCUUUAACCAUUUUGUGUUAAAAGGUACAGACUUUGAAGUAUAAAGUUUUUAUAUAAUGAUGAAAACAUACAUACAUACAUAUAUGUAUAUAUAUUAAAUUCUUUCUUUUUCAGUAUUACAAUAGCAUCAUUGUGAUAAGUUUUUUUUUUUUUUUUUUUUUCAACAUGUUUUUCAUUUAUUCCUUAAAUACAAGUUUUUAAAACGUGCUUACACUUUGUCAUUACAUUAUAAUGUAAAAAAAAAAAAUAAAUAGAUAAGUAAAAAAUAAAUGAAGAAACA